RNAcentral lists this ribosomal RNA (256 nucleotides) under uncultured bacterium. RNAcentral describes it as "partial 16S ribosomal RNA". It matches the Rfam family "Bacterial small subunit ribosomal RNA", at positions 524 to 776 of the family's 1533-position model. The record is from RNAcentral.
UACGGAGGAUCCAAGCGUUAUCCGGAUUCAUUGGGUUUAAAGGGUGCGUAGGCGGAAUGAUAAGUCAGUGGUGAAAUCUCUUCGCUUAACGAAGAAACUGCCAUUGAUACUGUCAAUCUUGAGUACAUUUGAUGUGGGCGGAAUGUGUCAUGUAGCGGUGAAAUGCUUAGAUAUGACACAGAACACCGAUUGCGAAAGGCAGCUCACAAAACUGUAACUGACGCUGAGGCAACGAAAGCGUGGGGUAUCAAACAGG